RNAcentral lists this non-coding RNA (19 nucleotides) under Arabidopsis thaliana (thale cress). The record is from RNAcentral. Lineage: Eukaryota; Viridiplantae; Streptophyta; Magnoliopsida; Brassicales; Brassicaceae.
UGUUGUAGCAUGUUCCUUG